RNAcentral lists this ribosomal RNA (483 nucleotides) under uncultured bacterium. Its description in RNAcentral is "bacterial SSU rRNA". It matches the Rfam family "Bacterial small subunit ribosomal RNA", at positions 335 to 802 of the family's 1533-position model. The record is from RNAcentral.
ACUCCUACGGGAGGCAGCAGUGGGGAAUAUUGCACAAUGGGCGCAAGCCUGAUGCAGCCAUGCCGCGUGUAUGAAGAAGGCCUUCGGGUUGUAAAGUACUUUCAGCAGUGAGGAAAGGGUGGGAUAUGUUAGUUAAGUANAUGCAUUCAUUUGACGUUAGCUGCAGAAGAAGCACCGGCUAACUCCGUGCCAGCAGCCGCGGUAAUACGGAGGGUGCGAGCGUUAAUCGGAAUUACUGGGCGUAAAGCGCAUGCAGGUGGUUUGUUAAGUCAGAUGUGAAAGCCCGGGGCUCAACCUCGGAAUUGCAUUUGAAACUGGCAAACUAGAGUACUGUAGAGGGGGGUAGAAUUUCAGGUGUAGCGGUGAAAUGCGUAGAGAUCUGAAGGAAUACCGGUGGCGAAGGCGGCCCCCUGGACAGAUACUGACACUCAGAUGCGAAAGCGUGGGGAGCAAACAGGAUUAGAUACCCUGGUAGCUACGAGU